This 6527-nucleotide long non-coding RNA is filed under the name Sus scrofa (pig). RNAcentral describes it as "lncRNA (ENSSSCG00000062540.1)". Lineage: Eukaryota; Metazoa; Chordata; Mammalia; Artiodactyla; Suidae. The record is from RNAcentral.
CUUCUGCCUGUGAUGCAUCCCCUAUUAACAUUCAGAGAUCCACCCUGAAAAUGAAGGCAACUGUUUGGAGAACAAUGCAAAAUGCUGAGAGCUAUACCAUAAUAUGUCCCCUUUUUUGUUAACAUUUCUUAAAAUGGUAAGUCUUAAUAAUAACCGCCUCUCUUUCUGAGAAAGGAGGGUUUCUAAAAUAUCUUAUAGACAUGGGAAUCACUUUUUAUGAGGUUAUAGUGGAGCAAUAAAUACAGUUAAAUUAGUAAAACUCCAUUGUUUUUACAAUUGAUAGAAUGAUGUUAUUGUCCAUAAUGUAGUAACAGAUUAGGGAAUAGAUUUUAAGAUAAAUAAGAUGAAAGUAAUUUGAAGUCAUCAUCAAUUACCCCCAUGUGACUCCCAUGAGUAAAUUAAAAAUCCACUCAGAAUGGUGUUGGAUUUGAAUUACUAGAACAGGGAUAGAUGUUUUUUGUUGCUGUUGUUUUUAAUGCAUCGAUGCACAUAAACCUCUACUUGCAAAAGCCCCAGAAGUAUAUUGGGUAAUUAAAAAAAAAAAGGCUUGUAUUCUAUUUGCUUAAUGAUUUAAAAUUUCUCUACAAAAAGUGACCUCUGAAGCUAACAUUUCUACGAAGAGAAAAAAAAAUAAUUUGAUUCUAUAUAAUUUUGUGAAAGGAGAGAAAGAUUAAACAAAAGUUUUGAAAUGUUACGUACAUUAAAUUUAAUCUACAUAUGCAUUCACAUAUACACACAAUGUGUAUAUGUUGGUGUGUGUAUAGAUAUAUAAAAAUGUGGCCUAAAUAGUGCUAAUCACAUUCUAUAAGAAACUACUAAAAUUGGAAUUCUGAAAAGAUAAGCCAUAGCAUUAUUUUAAAAAGCAAAGCACAUUGUCUUUUAAUUUAUGUCCAUGAAAAGCACACCAGUAGCAGUGUCUAGGCAUGUGCAAUCAUUUGAUAACAGGUAUAAGAUUCUUUUGGGGUGAGCAGAAUUCACAUUAGAUUCAAAGUGAUAAUAUGUUAAGUUUUGACAUAUUCUUGUUUAUUUAAAUCUGCAUUCUGAUGAUCACCUUUCAAAGAGGUAACAAAUAUAUGAAUAUGCGAUCCAGUGAUUAUAUAUUCAAAUUAAUCCAGUUUCUUUGAAUAUGGUCCAAUGAUUGAAUGAGCCUCCAAACACUGUCACUCCUCAGGGAAAUACGCUGAUGCACAUUUUCUCAAAGCCUGGAGAAGACGAGUUCUGCCAAGGAAUGCCUUGAAGCAUGGAAACUCUGCUCUACCUAAACACAAGUCCUAGGCUUUAAUCACAAUGGCUAGGUUCACACUAAAGCAAUUAACCAUAUGAUUGCUUUCUCAGGAGCCCAACCUCAUCAGUAUCUUUCCUUCAGGCAAACUGACAAGGCUGGAUGUAGUCAAUGACUCAAGUAGAUUUGAUUACCUAAGAGGGACAAAUCUCUGAAUACGCAAAUGCAGAGUAGGAAUAGUCACCUCAGUCUAUUUUUUAGAAGUAGCCAUUUCACAAUCCACCUUUUACUUUUAAAUGAUGGAGGUAAAAUGAUUGUUCCACUAAACAAGAGUUGGCAAGUUUUAGAAUGAAGAUUGAGACCAAAUAAUCAUGGCCUAUUGUAUAGUUGGUUGUUUUUUGUUUGUUUUGUUUGUUUUGGCAGGAACUAGGAAUGGCCAUGAUAGCUCUCAAAAUCUUAAAAUAGUUACUUGAGAAUUGGAGGGAGGCAAAAAUCCUUAAGGAAUGUAAUUUGUAAUUGAAUAGCAGCUGUAGAGAAGGUUUGAAAGAUGUGUGUGUGUGUAAGUAUGUGUGUGUACACAUACAUGUGUAAAUUCCUGUGUCGUUUUAGGUCUAUUGUCACAAGUCAGUGCUAGACUUGGUGAUAUAUCAAGUGUGAACCUGAAGCUUUCUAGCAUCUUCUUCUUUGUAUCCUAUUUGGAAGUUUUUGCCAGCAUAACAAAUUUUUUUGGUUACUAUCAACUGGAAUGAUUUUUUCAAAAAUGAGGCACUAACAGAUUUUAAAUGUUUUUCCCACUUAAAAACUGGGUAUGAAUACAAGAUCUGAGCAAUAUAAGUUUUCCAAUGUGUUUGUAAUUUCUUCGCACUUUUUAAAGAUUAUCCUAAAUACUCCUUAAAUGAAAUUAAAAUGCACUAGACAACAGGUAACAUACCUCCCAACGAUGCUAAGGAUUUCAUGCUUCCCAUAUAUAUUGGCCAGAAAUCUGGGAGGUUAUGUGGUCUGAUGAGCCUCACUGGGGCUAUAUCCUAUCCUGGAAUGCCAGUGUACAUACUGCUAUGAAAAACUUGUUGAAAUCAUGAGACUGACUCUGAAAAAGAUUUCCACAAUUUGGAAUUCAUCAGUUGGUUUUAUCACCUUCAGUGAAAGUACACCCAUGGACUUGGGUCUUGAUAAUGUUAGAAGCCUCUUAAAUAAAAGCACUUACACAAAUAAUAGGCAGAUUGGACUUCCUGUUGUGGCUCAGUGGGUUAAGAACCCAACCAGUAUCCAUGAGGAUGUGGGUUCGAUCCCUGGCCUUGCUCAGUGUGUUAUAGAUCCAGUAUUGCUGCACGUUGUGGCUUACACUGAAAAUGCGGCUUGGAUCCUGAGUUGCUGUGGAUGUGGCAUAGGCCGGCAGGUGGAGCUCCAAUUUGACCUCUAGCCUGGGAACUUCCAUAGCCUUAAAAAAAAAAAAAGAGAUUUUUUUUGUUGUUGUUGUUGUUAAGAUGAUUUGUCUUGCAUCAAAGAUUUUAUCAAAGUUGGCAAAAAAUUUUUUCCAAAGUCUGUAAUUGUCCUGGCUCUUCCUAUCCACAGCAGAAUGUUCUGAGAAUCUAGAUGAGCCACGGAGUGUCUGGGGCACAGGAGGUAAAGUACCUAGGUAUCUGAGGGAAAAAAAAAUUUCUCUCACCGUCAUUGAGAGAACAAACCAGAUGGAGAUCAAACAGACAUGACCUUAUAGUCUAGAGAACACAACCACCUAUCUCUUUUUUCCCCUCUUUUUUCUGUUCUUAAAGAAAAAUAGACAUAUAUAAAUAAAUCUAGAGAAAGUAGUUACGAAAAAAAAUUGGCAAUAUGGCAUAUAAUUCCAGCCUGUUUGAGGGGCUGAUGAAAAGGUAAAUGUGUCUGUACCCUCCUUGCAUUGGCCUCUGGAUGAAGUAAAAGAGGCUGUGUCUCUCCACAACCCAGUGCUCACAGCCCAUGCUCCUCCUUCAACCUAUUCUGGGCGGUGGAUUCCCCUGUGCUCUUUGUGCACUUUAAGUUUAAUUUUGCAUUUAAAAACUCAAUUGGCUCAUCUGUUAAGCAUUAAGCAGCUCCCUUUUGAGCCACAGGGGGAGCCCUGGGAAAACCCACAGCUGCUGGAACAUGGAAAAUGGGUUUAAAAAAACAAAACCAUUUUGAAACUUUAAAGCAUUUUAGCAGCCGUGGAUUUCCCAAUUCUUACCCCCCAAAUGGUUCAUCUGUUUAACUUUUAUCUGGUAUUGGAACACACAAACCAGAGCAUUAAAUAGCCCUCAAAUGACUUUUUGUUUAAUACAAAAUGAAAGCAAGAGCUAAAGCAAGCCAUGUGGGAGGAACUUUCAGAGAGCUAUGGCCUGAAAUACCUGCAGGCAUAUUCUCCCUCCAGUUAUAGAAACAUUUCUGAAAUGCAGCCAUGCCCAAUGGAACCACAACUUCCCUCUACUCACGUAAAUGUGCCCCCCACACACAAAAAAGGGGGGAGAAAACACGUCCCAGACAAGUCCAACUUCCAGCCUAUAAAAUGACAAUAAAAUUGAUGGAAAAGUUAAUAGGCUGGGGAUAUUCAUGAAAUGCUCCAUCAAGAUUUUAAGUUUCAUUAUGAUUUGUCAUUGACUAAAAAUUCAUGUCUAAUGACAGUUGGCUAGGCUAUAGAUAAACAUAAAUUAUCAUUAUUAUUCCAGGUUCCCCAUUUAUUCCCCUAACUAACCUGAAGUCUCCCUGUGGUAGAGUCCCAAAGCGUAUGAGUGGUGGGCCUUGGAAUGAUGGUAAAACACUCCUACUAAAAUAGAAAUUUUUUUUUGGAAGGGUGGCAACUGUUAGCCUGUCGCCUGAAAAAAUUUCUUCAUUCCUGGGUGGAGUCUGCAAAGAGAAGUGCAGUGUAACCAAGAGAUAGCGUGCAUCACAUAUGCCCUGGAGCAUGCGAGUGAGGAAAAAACCUAUACAAGGGUCCCUCCUAAGGGCUAACCUGCGUUAAACAACAAGGCAACAGGCCCCAAACAGAGUCACUUAUGCUAAGCUUCACGUCACCAAAUAAAGACUUAAUUAUAGGUUUGUUCUCCCAGAAGUGGAAUCUUAAACCAGUCAGGAAUCUCCUGACCAGCACUAGUUAAAUAAUCCGCCGGAUAGACCCCUGCUCUCCCCUCACGGAAAGUAAUCUUGCAAUAAUCAACUGUUUUUUGUUUUUUGUUUUUUUUUUUUUUUUGCCUGGAAUAACUUCCUUGUUUCUGCUCUCUCCUCUGCCUCCUACAAAAGUCUUUUUUUUUUUUUUUUCCCCCAGCUCCUCAGAACUUCUUUUUCUCUGUUACAUUGGAGGCUGCCCAAUUCUAAUUGAAUUUUGCUCCAAUAAACUUUUCAAUUUUUAAUAUGCCUCACUUUGCCUUUUGACACCCGAUUGGAAGGAGAAAAGGGAAAUUCAUGUGGUAGAAGAGGAGUGCUUAUAAUGAAGUUGGAAAGACACAAAGGAAAUUCAUCUAAUUGUUUAGUAUGGCUCGGCCUUGAUGAGAAUCUCUGAAUUCUUAUAAAGAGUUCAUGUGUUAACGCAUAGGGAAUAUGAUAGUCCAAAGCUGUCAGAGAAACCAAGUCCAAAUAUGAUUCCUCUGAAAGCAUUCAUUCUAUUGGUCAAUGUCAGAUUCAGGUGUAAAAUUAUGUGAUUCCUGAUUUUCAAUCCAAUUUUUAUCUUGGGAUAUCUUCUUUGAGGUGUCAAAAAUCGCUUGCUAUGGGGAUGGAGUGAUUAGUUUGUGAGAAUUUUCUACCUUGAACUUUUAAAUAAACAUUGGAUUUUCAAAGUCCUCAAUUUCAAUUUUAUUUCAUAGUAUUCUCUCUCCCUCUCUUUUUCUCUCUCUUUCUCUGUUUACCCCACCCUGUCUCGACUAUAUCCAUGAAUUUUUUAAUAUACCGAUAUGGCACAAUUAUAAGGGAUUAAGUAUAGUCUAUAUCAUCUUAAAAGAGUAGGUAUUAGGAAAGUGGUAAAGUAAAAUUAUAAUGCAAAAGUAGUACAUGGUACUCAAGCCAGAUAUAUACACCAACACAUUCCAAAAUUAUAAAGAAUUUCAGUAAUGUCUUCAAUUUUAAAAGACCAGAAAAGAGGUCUACUUUCCUUAUGAUCAAACUCAAACCUUGAAGUUUCAAACCAAGUAGAGAUUACUGAAAAUAAUACAUCUGUAUGUAUAAAAUUUGUGUACAUAUACAUGUCCUUGUUCACAUUACCUUCAAAAUUUUUUCUCAGGGAAAACAAAGCUUUAUUGAACAUUGACUAUGUAUCAGGCACAGUACUAGUUGAUUAAUGUGAUUUUAUGUGUCCAGGAAUAAUGCUAGAGACCUAUUUUUAGAUGGUUUAAUUACAAAUGUCCACUUCCUUCUGCUUAGUCCAUGUCCCUUGCACUCCACCUGCUGUUCCAAGUUUGGAGAACGGGUGUUCAAAGCUCAGACACUGAUGGAAGGAUUUAACUACUAUGUCGAUUAGAUAAUAAAAACAAUAGUUUAUAAUCAGCUUGUCAUCAGCUGUAGAGUUAAGUAGUACUAUUCUUUGUAAGCAAAUGAAACCCAUUUUAAUCUAACUGAAGCCAAGAAUAGCAUGUAGUGUGGCUCAGGGGAAAGUAGAGCUAGGCUCUAACAAUGUUAUCUGGACUCUGCCUCUUUCUCUUCAUCUCUCAUUUUAGCUCUUCUCUGGAUUAUGCUCAUGUUCUGACUUCAGUGCAGAAACUUCCUCUGUAUCAUUGGGGUGGAGGGUGGAGGUGAGGUUGUGGCAUGUUCAGCAGUUCCAGAGGGAAAGGUGACCUUGCUCUUCACUUUGGUAAAGGUUCUGACUUCCCUGGCUCAGGUAAUAUGUCUUCCUCCAGGACCAAGCAACAUGGCCAGGGGCUGUGGCACAAUUAUUGUCAGGCCGGGGUCACCUGCAUACUGCUCUGUACUAUGAAGGAUCCCCAUGAGAAUCAAUUGGAAUAGAAGCACAGAGAGGUAAAUUAAUUCACUCAAGAUAACAUAGCUAACAUCUAUCUAGUAGGGUUGUGAUUCAAACCCAAGAUAUUUUGUUUCAGAAUCAGUGCCAGUAUACUUGACAUUAAAAUUACAACAUGAGGGAGUUCCCAUUGUGGUGCAGCAGAAACAAAUCUGACUAGAAACCAUGAGGUUGUGGGUUCGAUCCUUGACCUCGCUCAGUGAGUUAAGGAUCUGGUGUUUCCGUGAGCUGUGGUAUAGGUCGCAGACAUGGCUCGGAUCUGGCAUUUCUGUGACUGUAGCAUAGGCCGGCAGCUGUAGCUCCAAUUAGCCCCCUAGCCUGGGAACCUCCAUAUGCCGCGGGUGCAGCCCU